CCUACGGGAGGCAGCAGUAAGGAAUAUUGGUCAAUGGACGCAAGUCUGAACCAGCCAUGCCGCGUGAAGGAUUAAGGCCCUCUGGGUUGUAAACUUCUUUUAUAGGGGACGAAAAAAGGGCAUUCUUGCUCACUUGACGGUACCCUAGGAAUAAGCACCGGCUAACUCCGUGCCAGCAGCCGCGGUAAUACGGAGGGUGCAAGCGUUAUCCGGAUUUACUGGGUUUAAAGGGUGCGUAGGUGGGUUGGUAAGUCAGUGGUGAAAUCUUCGAGCUUAACUCGGAAACUGCCAUUGAUACUAUCAAUCUUGAAUCAUCUAGAGGUAAGCGGAAUAUGUCAUGUAGCGGUGAAAUGCUUAGAUAUGACAUAGAACACCAAUUGCGAAGGCAGCUUACUAUGGAUGCAUUGACACUGAGGCACGAAAGCGUGGGGAUCAAACAGGAUUAGAUACCCUGGUAGUCCACGCCCUAAACGAUGGAUACUCGACAUUUGUGAUAUACAAUAAGUGUCUGAGCGAAAGCAUUAAGUAUCCCACCUGGAAGUACGACCGCAAGGUUGAAACUCAAAGGAAUUGACGGCUGAGAGAGCGACGACGACGACGAGGGAGGAGG
Molecule: ribosomal RNA, 610 nt
Filed under: uncultured bacterium
Lineage: Bacteria
Description: bacterial SSU rRNA
Rfam family: Bacterial small subunit ribosomal RNA
Source: RNAcentral